UGGGGAAUUUUGCGCAAUGGGGGAAACCCUGACGCAGCAACGCCGCGUGAGUGAUGAAGGCCUUCGGGUCGUAAAGCUCUGUCAGAGGGAAAGAAAUGCGGGUGGCUAAUAUCCAUACCGCUUGACGGUACCCU
Molecule: ribosomal RNA, 134 nt
Filed under: uncultured bacterium
Lineage: Bacteria
Description: partial 16S ribosomal RNA
Rfam family: Bacterial small subunit ribosomal RNA
Source: RNAcentral